AGUGAACGCUGGCGGUAGGCCUAACACAUGCAAGUCGAACGGCAGCACAGUAAGAGCUUGCUCUUACGGGUGGCGAGUGGCGGACGGGUGAGGAAUACAUCGGAAUCUCCUUUUUCGUGGGGGGUAACGUAGGGAAACUUACGCUAAUACCGCAUACGACCUACGGGUGAAAGCAGGGGAUCUUCGGACCUUGCGCGAUUGAAUGAGCCGAUGUCGGAUUAGCUAGUUGGCGGGGUAAAGGCCCACCAAGGCGACGAUCCGUAGCUGGUCUGAGAGGAUGAUCAGCCACACUGGAACUGAGACACGGUCCAGACUCCUACGGGAGGCAGCAGUGGGGAAUAUUGGACAAAGGGCGCAAGCCUGAUCCAGCCAUACCGCGUGGGUGAAGAAGGCCUUCGGGUUGUAAAGCCCUUUUGUUGGGAAAGAAAAGCAGCAGGUUAAUACCCCGCUGUUCUGACGGUACCCAAAGAAUAAGCACCGGCUAACUUCGUG
This 492-nucleotide ribosomal RNA is filed under the name uncultured bacterium. RNAcentral's name for it is "partial 16S ribosomal RNA". It matches the Rfam family "Bacterial small subunit ribosomal RNA", at positions 29 to 507 of the family's 1533-position model. The record is from RNAcentral.